RNAcentral lists this unclassified non-coding RNA (282 nucleotides) under air metagenome. Its description in RNAcentral is "partial contains small subunit ribosomal RNA, internal transcribed spacer 1, and 5.8S ribosomal RNA". The stretch from base 1 to 46 matches the Rfam family "Eukaryotic small subunit ribosomal RNA", at positions 1786 to 1831 of the family's 1831-position model. The record is from RNAcentral.
AAGUCGUAACAAGGUUUCCGUAGGUGAACCUGCGGAAGGAUCAUUAAUGAAUUUACUUGAGAGUUGAUGCUGGCUUUGCUGCAUGUGCUCGCUCUCAUAAUUCUAUCCUUACACACCUGUGCACAUGUGAAGAAGGUUUGUGGUUCGAGCGGAAGGCGUUGUUCGCUUUCCUUCGUUCCUAUCUCCUCCUUCCUUUCUACAAACUCCAAAUUAACUACGAACGUGAUCGCCUGAACAAGGCAUAAACUUAUACAACUUUUAACAACGGAUCUCUUGGCUCUC